CAGUCGCCGCGGUAAUACAGAGGGUGCGAGCGUUAAUUGGAUUUACUGGGCGUAAAGCGUGCGUAGGCGGCUUCUUAAGUCGGAUGUGAAAUCCCUGAGCUUAACUUAGGAAUUGCAUUCGAUACUGGGAAGCUAGAGUAUGGGAGAGGAUGGUAGAAUUCCAGGUGUAGCGGUGAAAUGCGUAGAGAUCUGGAGGAAUACCGAUGGCGAAGGCAGCCAUCUGGCCUAAUACUGACGCUGAGGUACGAAAGCAUGGGGAGCAAACAGGAUUAGAUACCCCAGUAGUCCCUGUCUCUUAUAU
RNAcentral lists this ribosomal RNA (301 nucleotides) under uncultured bacterium. Its description in RNAcentral is "partial 16S ribosomal RNA". It matches the Rfam family "Bacterial small subunit ribosomal RNA", at positions 509 to 809 of the family's 1533-position model. The record is from RNAcentral.